RNAcentral lists this ribosomal RNA (253 nucleotides) under uncultured bacterium. RNAcentral's name for it is "partial 16S ribosomal RNA". It matches the Rfam family "Bacterial small subunit ribosomal RNA", at positions 524 to 776 of the family's 1533-position model. The record is from RNAcentral.
UACGAAGGGGGCUAGCGUUGCUCGGAAUGACUGGGCGUAAAGGGCGCGUAGGCGGAUGGCACAGUCAGAUGUGAAAUUCCCGGGCUUAACCUGGGGGCUGCAUUUGAUACGUGUGAUCUAGAGUGAGGAAGAGGGUCGUGGAAUUCCCAGUGUAGAGGUGAAAUUCGUAGAUAUUGGGAAGAACACCGGUGGCGAAGGCGGCGACCUGGUCCUUGACUGACGCUGAGGCGCGAAAGCAUGGGGAGCAAACAGG